UACGGAGGGCGCAAGCGUUGUCCGGAAUCACUGGGAGUAAAGCGCGUGUAGGCGGCUGGACAAGUCGGAUGUGAAAUCCCGAGGCUCAACUUCGGAACUGCAUUUGAAACUGUCCGGCUGGAGACCCGGUGAGGUUGGCGGAAUUCCCCGUGUAGGGGUGAAAUCCGUAGAUAUCCUGAGGAACACCAGUGGCGAAGGCGGCUGUCUGGGCGGUGUCUGACGCUGAGACACGAAAGCGUGGGGAUCAAACAGG
Molecule: ribosomal RNA, 253 nt
Filed under: uncultured bacterium
Lineage: Bacteria
Description: partial 16S ribosomal RNA
Rfam family: Bacterial small subunit ribosomal RNA
Source: RNAcentral